CAAACAGAUCUAACCGCGGCUGGCCACUUCCUCCCACCCCUCCCAGAGGGAGUCCAGAGGCUAUCCCCUCGUGGCCUGGAUUGAUAAUGUCAGCACUGGGAAGUUUGUCAAAGAUGUUUGGAGAAACUGGGUACUCUAAGCCUAAUAGCCUACGCUACAGACCAUUUCUUGAAGGACAAGAACUUAGAGAUUUCUGAGUAAGGAAAGAAAAAUGAACUGGCAGGUCUGGGUCUCUAAAGAAUAAGCUUUCAAUCUGAGAUAAUUUAUUUGUACUCUCCUUAGCACAUAUAUAUAUAUGGUGGAUAUA
Molecule: long non-coding RNA, 307 nt
Organism: Ornithorhynchus anatinus (platypus)
Lineage: Eukaryota; Metazoa; Chordata; Mammalia; Monotremata; Ornithorhynchidae
Exons: 2
Source: RefSeq, a predicted model, not a curated record